GUGGGGAAUCUUGCGCAAUGGGCGAAAGCCUGACGCAGCCAUGCCGCGUGAAUGAUGAAGGUCUUAGGAUUGUAAAAUUCUUUCACCGGGGACGAUAAUGACUGUAGCCGGAGAAGAAGCCCCGGCUAACUUCGUGCCAGCAGCCGCGGUAAUACGAAGGGGGCUAGCGUUGCUCGGAUUUACUGGGCGUAAAGGGCGCGUAGGCGGACAUUUAAGUCAGGGGUGAAAUCCCGGGGCUCAACCUCGGAACUGCCUUUGAUACUGGGUGUCUUGAGUAUGAGAGAGGUGUGUGGAACUCCGAGUGUAGAGGUGAAAUUCGUAGAUAUUCGGAAGAACACCAGUGGCGAAGGCGACACACUGGCUCAUUACUGACGCUGAGGCGCGAAAGCGUGGGGAGCAAACAGGAUUAGAAACCCGUGUAGUCC
RNAcentral lists this ribosomal RNA (425 nucleotides) under uncultured bacterium. RNAcentral describes it as "partial 16S ribosomal RNA". It matches the Rfam family "Bacterial small subunit ribosomal RNA", at positions 354 to 796 of the family's 1533-position model. The record is from RNAcentral.